This is a long non-coding RNA of Chenopodium quinoa (quinoa), 4558 nucleotides long. RefSeq lists it as uncharacterized. The record is from RefSeq and is a predicted model, not a curated record. NCBI's taxonomy places the organism in Eukaryota, Viridiplantae, Streptophyta, Magnoliopsida, Caryophyllales, Amaranthaceae. The transcript has 2 exons.
CAAUCAAUAGGAAAUUAACCAAUCAUCAAAUAAUAAAUAAUAAUAAAUUACCCCUUCGUAUUAUUCAUGGAUCCCUACAACCCUAGAAAUAAGUCUACUCACUCAUAAAUAAAACUAAGCCAAACAUAAUAAUUAAACAAGACAUGAUUAAAUCAAAGCAAUCAAAUUACUGAAAGUAAAGAGGGAAGAAAUCGUUACCAAAAUUAAAGGAAAUAAUGAAUUGCAUAAAUUAAGGAGUGUAGAGAGAACAAUAGUAUCAAGAACAAGCUUAAAAACUAAAUCUAGAAUCAAGAAAAAGGAAUAAUGGAUCAUGAAAAGCGUAAAAACGCAAAAAUAAGCUCAAAACGUAUUUAUACUAAAAAACUAAAUCUAAAUAAAGAAAAAGACAAUAAAUUAAAAUAUCUUAAUAAAUCACGCGCCCGGUCGGGUGAGGCACCGCCUGGCCGGGCGCGCCUUUUUGAUCUUAAGUGCGUAGCUCGGGCCCGGUCGGGCGCGCAUCCGGGCGAACCUUUGCCCGGUCGGGCGGAUGCUUGGGCAGACCUUAUAUUCUUCUUUUCAAUUGGGCUUCACACUUCUUGGCCCAAAACUAAACUUCUUCAUAGGUCCAACUUGCCCGAGCUCCUAUUCACUUCAUCGAGCCCUUAAUCACCGGAUUGAUUCCUCAAAUACGGUCAUGGGCUUCGGAAUACGAUCAUAGAAAUGCGUCUUGUCUCCAAUGCUCGCGGUGGCUCCACUAAGUGCCGGAAAAUGUUCCAAAUCUGCAGUUUCCUGUAGAAUAAUUCCACAACUACGAAAACACUAGAAAACGCAUAUUAGUAAUAAAAUUGGCUCUAAAGAGUCAAAAAUACUCCUAACUAUGAUCACGGGACGGGGAUAAAAUACUAUAUAUAAUGAAUACAUCAGCCACAGGCCCAUCUUCUGCUACUGGCCCACCUCUUGUUGCUAGGCCAUCUUCUGCUUGUCCAGAACCACCUUUCACAAGCCCAAAUGAAGCAAGCCCAUCUAACCCAAACACAUCUAAACCAGUUUCUUCUAAAUUAGGCACCUUCAAUCCAGGCCCGCCCAAGAAUUUCAGACCAAAAUUAACCACUUGAAAAAAACACAAAACCUACAUAAGCUGAACACCCUUGUAGUGGACCAGGGACCUUGAAUAUAGUAGAACCUGUUAGGGGGAGCCCAAGUUUACUGAUUCCUUGUCACCCAAAAGUUUACCCCCUUAUUCAGUCAACCUAGGAGGUUACCUAGGAUGUUAGAAGAAAUAUCCCCUUAUUCUCCCCCACAUAUCACACUAUGUGAUGAUGAUUUCUUUCAUAGAAAUAACUCUGAAUCUCAAAUGCUUUCUCCUGCACACAGAAGAAGUCCAAGACUAUUGCAAGCUAACUCCAGCCCAAAUCUUAGGCAGGCACCAUUGAGACCACCACAAAAUAACCAAAAUGAACCCCCAUAUGAGCCUACUAGAAAAACUAGAACUUGCCAAAGGCGAGUACUUCUCUUUCCUCAUGGUAAGAAAUUGCCCAACAACAUUGCAAAGCUUAAGGGUUUGUUUGUUCCACAUAGUCAGUAAUUCCAAACUAUAUCAGAAGGUAGGAGUGGUAGGGGAGGAAAGCUGAACAUGACAGAUACACUGCUGAAUGUGCUGACAGCAGAUACAAGUGGAGGAUUUAUGCUACUAUACUCAUUGAUGGGUUUACUUGGGCCAUAAAGAGCAUAAAGCAUGGGCAUACAUGUGACCUGAACAUGGUCAAUAAUCCAAUGUGUAAUUGCAAGUGGGCAGCUCAGAAGUUGUUGGAAGAUAUUAGAGCCAGCCCGGAUAUCAAAGCGAAAGCACUUAAUCAAUUACUUUUGGAAAGAUUUGGUAUUACAAUGGCUUGCUCAUCCCUAUACAAAAUGAAGAGUAUUGCAAUGGACCUCAUUCAGGGAGGGCAUGAUGAGUCAUAUCACAAUCUCAAUGAGUUCUAUCAUUUGCUGAAGGAGAGAAACCCAGUCCAAUUCAAGUCUAUUUUCAUCAGCUUUACAGCACAGUUUGAAGGGUUAAUUCUGGGAUGCAGGGGCUUAGUUGGUGUUGAUGGUUGCCAUUUGAAAGGCAAUAAUAGAGGAAUUUUAUUAUCAGCUGUGUCUUUAGAUGGGAAUAAUGAAAUCUUCCCAGUUGUAGUAGCUGUAGUAGAUUCAGAGAACAAGACAAGCUGGUCUUGGUUCUUUCAUCACCUUAAGAACACUCUCACUGGCACAGGAAGGAUUGACUGGACUAUAAUGUCAGAUAGGCAGAAGGUUUUUAUUUCUCUAUGCAAAUUAAGACUAAGUUGUGUGUAUUUUAAUUAUCAUAGUUAGUUUAACUAAUGUGUCUUUAUCUGUGCUAGGGAAUUGACCUUGGUUUGGAUCAAGUGUGGCCAAAAUUUCCUAGAAGAUAUUGUGCAAGGAAAUUAUGCAAAAAUUUCAAAGAUGAUUACCCAGGUAUCCUGAUGCACAAACUGUUUUGGGGGGUGACUAAUGCCUACUCUGCCUUCAGUUUCAAAAAAGCUCUACAAAAAAUACAGUCUACUGCUGGACUUGGAGCCGUGAAGUGGUUUAAGGAGGUAAGGCCCCUUGAUACAUGGACAAAGAGGAAAUUUGACCCCUAACUGUCUUCUGAUGAGAAUACCAACAAUUUUGUUAAAAGUUUCAACAACACUAUUGGUGUAGAUAGGUGUUAUCCCAUCCUAACACUACUUGAAGGAAUUAGGAGGAUUGCUAUGGUUAGGCAUGCUACAAGGCAACAGCUGGCUGAGCAAUGGGUGGAGGAAGAAAUUUGUCCUAACAUUAGAGAGAGGGUUAGGGCUUUCACUAAAGAAUCUAGGUUAUUCCAUGCAUAUCCUUCUGGGAGGGGAGAGUAUGAAGUGUUUGAUUGAAGAAGUAUGCUCCCAAUGUCAUUGAACAACUGGUCCUAUGUUUGUGGUAAAUGGCAAGUAAGUGGCAUUCCAUGUAGGCAUGGAAUUAGGGCCAUACUUGAUGUUGGGAAAGAUCCAAAUGAUUUUGUGAAGGAAUGGUACUCUGUGGCUAGGUAUAAGUUGACAUACAGUGGGAAUAUAUUGCCCAUUCUAUCCCCUGAGCAAUAGCCUGACAUGGAUGUUCCCAAACUAGUCCCACCUCCAAUGAAAAGAAGUGUUGGCAGACCUUCCAGAAAUAGGAGAACAAAAGAAGGAGAGAAGAGAAAAGGGAAGAGGUCUGCUACUGUUCAGUGCAAGAAAUGCAAACAACAUGGGCAUAAUGCUGCUACUUGCAAGGGUGGUUUGACUAAAAAGGAGAUUCUGGAGCAGCAAGGUAAGGCACCCACUAGUGCAACAAAGGGCAAGAGAACAAGGCAGCAAACCAGCCAGAGUGAGAUGGAUUUCAACUUGAUUGAGUAGAUGAUUGUUACCAGCUCAACUCAGUCAAAUGCAGAGUGCUCAAGCCAACCUGUGCUACCAUCUACGAACAAAAACAGAGAGCCUCCUGCUACUAAAGGGCCUUUCUCUCAGCCUACCCCAACUACAGCUUCUAAAAGGCAAAAUAUAGUGAACAAACUUGCCAUGCUAUGAGCCCCUGUGUUCCUAUAGGUCAAGGAUGAUUUGAGCACGACAAUGGCUUUUUUUGGGACACAUUUAAACUACUGUUAAUAUUUUCAAGCUUCUUUUGGGAACAAACUUGGUUGAAUUUUGUAUUUAAAGCCUCAUAUAAGAUGUGAUUAUGUUUUGGGCUGUGAAACUUAUGGUAGGAAAUGUUGGAUGAUUUUUUGGGUGUUAAAAUCUGAUGUUAGAUGUUGGCUGUCAAACUUUUAACAUUAUGUAUAUAUUGGGCUGUUAGUAUUAUAUAUGUUGUCUAUUUAUGAUUGUUGUAUUGUGGAAUUCAUUAUAUUAUUACUAUAACAACUAAAACAAAUUGAAAUUUCAUUGAACUAAAAAAAAAAAGGUUUUUCCACCCAUUUCAUUAACACAUAAAAGUAACAACAAUCUUUCUAUUACAAUCACUUCACCCCACACUUUUUAACAGCACAAUUAUGAGUAACACAACAUACAUAAAAACACCAAUUUUAACUACUUCCCCUAAUGUAGCUAAUCAACUCUAUUAUUUUCUCCUUCAGAGAUGCAAUUUCGGUUUCAUCAGCCCUCAAUGCUUCAAGACCCUGCACAUCACCUUCAUCCAUCCACUUGAAAAAGCCGCAAUCGUUGCACUUAAAGAACGCUUUCCUAGGGUUGCGAGUUGUUGUUGAAAUCUUCACCUUCGCUAGUUUUGGAGGGUUGCAAAAAUAUUGUGGGCUCAAGAAUUGCAAGGAACAUGAUGAAUUGGAGGGGAACGAGCAGCGAGAACUGGACAUGGCUUCUUGUUUCAAUUGAAACUGUAAUUACCUACAAUGGAGCCCUAGAAAAAAAGGAAAAAAAAAUCAAGGGAUUUAUAAAAGGAGGAAGAAGAAGAAGAAAGGAGGGGGGGGGGGGAAGAGGUGGCUUUUUUGGAGGGAAAUAUUCCCCCCAAAACUAAUAACAGACUACCUGUACGCACUCCAAUUAAAGUUAACAGAAGCAACUAACGGCAGUUUAACGGCGAG